This is a long non-coding RNA of Rosa chinensis, 492 nucleotides long. RefSeq lists it as uncharacterized. The transcript has 4 exons. The record is from RefSeq and is a predicted model, not a curated record. Lineage: Eukaryota; Viridiplantae; Streptophyta; Magnoliopsida; Rosales; Rosaceae.
UAUAAAGAGAAAUUUUAAACAGUCCCUUGUUGGCGCCAUGUUACUGGAACUCCCAGAGGGUGAUUCUUAUUUGAAUGUCCUUCAAAAGGUUGUGGAAAAUGGAAAUCCCCUUGAACGAAAUAUUUGGAAGGAUAUAGUUUUCCUGAUACCGUUUGUGCUUAGCUGUUAGAUAUUUUGAGCAUUAAGCUUUGCCAAUUUUGUAAGGAGGUAUAUCACGAUGGUGGAAAUGUGCCGGGGAAUAGAGAUCAGUUAAUAACCAUGUUACUUCCACUAGUGGAACAUGUGCUGAAUGUCUUCCAAAGCCAUUUUCAGUAUAGCUCUUUGGCAUCUGAUCCCCCUCGUUCUUUGAAGACAAUUACAAAUGGUGCCAACUGUGGCCCGGUACAAGACAUAUCUUUGUAAUCUUAUUUAGACUUUAGAAAGACUGAGUUACUUAGUGAGGUCUACUAAGUAUUAUCUUUGUAAUUUAUUUACUAAUGCAUAUUUAGCCUA